Molecule: unclassified non-coding RNA, 230 nt
Filed under: uncultured fungus
Lineage: Eukaryota; Fungi
Description: sequence contains ITS1, 5.8S rRNA gene
Rfam family: 5.8S ribosomal RNA (bases 182-230)
Source: RNAcentral
UCUCCGUAGGUGAACCUGCGGAGGGAUCAUUACUGAGUGAGGGCUCACGCCCGACCUCCAACCCUUUGUGAACACAUCUUGUUGCUUCGGGGGCGACCCUGCCGGCACUCUGUCGCCGGGCGCCCCCGGGGUCAAUCAAACACUGCAUUCUCUGCGUCGGAGUAUUAGUAAAUCUAAUCAAAACUUUCAACAACGGAUCUCUUGGUUCUGGCAUCGAUGAAGAACGCAGC